This 493-nucleotide ribosomal RNA is filed under the name uncultured bacterium. RNAcentral describes it as "partial 16S ribosomal RNA". It matches the Rfam family "Bacterial small subunit ribosomal RNA", at positions 28 to 507 of the family's 1533-position model. The record is from RNAcentral.
GACGAACGCUGGCGGCGUGCUUAACACAUGCAAGUCGAACGGUGAAGCACCUUCCUUUUGGUGGGUGCGGUUGAGUGGCGAACGGGUGAGUCACACGUGAGUAACCUGUCCCCUUCUUCUGGAUAACCGCAUGAAAGUGUGGCUAAUACGGGAUAUUCUUCGCCUGUCGCAUGGCGGGCCUGGGAACGAUUUUGUUUCGGUGGGGCGUGGGCUCGCGGCCUAUCAGGUUGUUGGUGGGGUGAUGGCCUUCGAAGGCGAUGACGGGUAGCCGGCCUGGGGGGGUGGACGGUCACACAGGGAGGGAGACACGGCUCAGACUCCGACAGGAGGCAGCAGUGGAGAAUAGGGCACAGUGGGCACAAGUCUGAAGCAGCGACGCGGCGGGAGCGAUGGAGGCCGGCGCGUGAUAAACCUCUUUCGGCAGUGAAGCAGUCCGGUCCCUUUUGUGGGUGGGUUGACGGUAGCUGGAUAAGAAGCGCCGGCUAACUACGUG